AGGGGUAGGGGUAGGGGUAGGGGUAGGGGUAGGGGUAGGGUUAGGGUGAGGGGUUAGGGUUAGGGUUAGGGUUAGGAUUAGGGUUAGGGUUAGGGUUAGGGUUAGGGUUAGGGUUAGGGUUAGGGUUAGGGUUAGGGUUAGGGGUAGGGUUAGGGGUAGGGUUAGGGUUAGGGUUAGGGUUAGGGUUAGGGUUAGGGUUAGGGUUAGGGUUAGGGUUAGGGUUAGGGUUAGGGUUAGGGUUAGGGUUAGGGUUA
Long non-coding RNA from Gopherus flavomarginatus (Mexican gopher tortoise), 254 nucleotides. RefSeq lists it as uncharacterized. NCBI's taxonomy places the organism in Eukaryota, Metazoa, Chordata, Testudines, Testudinidae. The transcript is spliced from 3 exons. The record is from RefSeq and is a predicted model, not a curated record.